This 468-nucleotide ribosomal RNA is filed under the name uncultured bacterium. Its description in RNAcentral is "partial 16S ribosomal RNA". It matches the Rfam family "Bacterial small subunit ribosomal RNA", at positions 28 to 507 of the family's 1533-position model. The record is from RNAcentral.
GACGAACGCUGGCGGCGUGCUUAACACAUGCAAGUCGAACGGAAAGGCCCUGCUUUUGUGGGGUGCUCGAGUGGCGAACGGGUGAGUAACACGUGAGUAACCUGCCCUUGACUUUGGGAUAACUUCAGGAAACUGGGGCUAAUACCGGAUAGGAGCUCCUGCUGCAUGGUGGGGGUUGGAAAGUUUCGGCGGUUGGGGAUGGACUCGCGGCUUAUCAGCUUGUUGGUGGGGUAGUGGCUUACCAAGGCUUUGACGGGUAGCCGGCCUGAGAGGGGGAACGGCCACAUUGGGACUGAGAGACGGCCCAGACGCCAACGGGAGGCAGCAGUGGGAAACAUGGCACAAUGGGCGGAAGCCUGAUGCAGCAACGCCGCGUGCGGAAUGACGGCUUUCGGGUUGUAAACCGCUUUCGCCGGUGACGAAGCGUGAGUGACGGUAAUGGGUAAAGAAGCACCGGCUAACUACGUG